RNAcentral lists this long non-coding RNA (554 nucleotides) under Monodelphis domestica (gray short-tailed opossum). RNAcentral describes it as "lncRNA (ENSMODG00000042892.1)". Lineage: Eukaryota; Metazoa; Chordata; Mammalia; Didelphimorphia; Didelphidae. The record is from RNAcentral.
CUGGCAACAGAGAGAAGCCAAGAGCCCUGCAGAAAGGGAAGCAAAAGAUCCCAAAGGACUUGCGGUGUGUUGGGAGACAAGCAGAAUUUGCACAGACUUGUCAGGAAAUCAUGGUGGCUAAUUGUGAUGUACAUAAAAAGAAGAGGAUGGAUGGGAGAGAUAUUGAGGAGGAAACAGAUUUAAUUCAAGUUUCCCCCAUGGUCUAGCUACUCUGUCACAGAUGGUGAGACUCCUUGGCCUUGAAAUCACCUGGUGGCAGCCUGAUGAAAUAAUUAUCACAAGUGGGGAAUGAACUGAGAUUUCAAAUCAGUGAUUUCAGAGGAGACUCAUGCUUUCUUGAUAUUAAAAUCCUACUGCAAAAUCCAGCUCAGCCACACCGAGAGUACUGAAAAUGUAGUUUCUUUUGUCAUGUAAUAUAAUGCACAUGUGGACAAAGAAUGGUUUAAAGACCUGGGGAAAUCUAACCUGAACCCAAGAAGAUUUGUUUGAGGUAGGAGUUUCUAAAGGAAUUCAAAUAUUUGAAAGGCACUCACAUGGAAGAGGAAGGAAAUGUU